Molecule: ribosomal RNA, 253 nt
Filed under: uncultured bacterium
Lineage: Bacteria
Description: partial 16S ribosomal RNA
Rfam family: Bacterial small subunit ribosomal RNA
Source: RNAcentral
UACGUAGGGUCCGAGCGUUGUCCGGAAUUAUUGGGCGUAAAGGGCUCGUAGGCGGUCUGUCGCGUCGGGAGUGAAAACUUACAGCUUAACUGUGAGCGUGCUUUCGAUACGGGCAGACUUGAGGUAUUCAGGGGAGAACGGAAUUCCUGGUGUAGCGGUGAAAUGCGCAGAUAUCAGGAGGAACACCGAUGGCGAAGGCAGGUCUCUGGGCCACUACUGACGCUGAGAAGCGAAAGCAUGGGGAGCGAACAGG